RNAcentral lists this ribosomal RNA (449 nucleotides) under uncultured bacterium. RNAcentral describes it as "partial 16S ribosomal RNA". It matches the Rfam family "Bacterial small subunit ribosomal RNA", at positions 28 to 507 of the family's 1533-position model. The record is from RNAcentral.
GACGAACGCUGGCGGCGUGCUUAACACAUGCAAGUCGAACGCUGAAGCUUGGUGCUUGCCCUGGGUGGAUGAGUGGCGAACGGGUGAGUAACGCGUGGGAACGUGCCCUUUGCUUCGGAAUAGCCCUGGGAAACUGGGAGUAAUACCGGAUGAGCCCUUUGGGGGAAAGAUUUAUCGGCGAAGGAUCGGCCCGCGUUGGAUUAGGUAGUUGGUGGGGUAAUGGCCUACCAAGCCGACGAUCCAUAGCUGGUUUGAGAGGAUGAUCAGCCACACUGGGACUGAGACACGGCCCAGACUCCUACGGGAGGCAGCAGUGGGGAAUCUUAGACAAUGGGGGAAACCCUGAUCUAGCCAUGCCGCGUGAGCGAUGAAGGCCUUAGGGUUGUAAAGCUCUUUCAGCUGGGAAGAUAAUGACGGUACCAGCAGAAGAAGCCCCGGCUAACUCCGUG